UAAAUAAUAAUAUAAUAGGUAAUUAUAUUUUACUUAGAGUUAUUAAUUAUUAUUAAUUAUUANNAAAAUANNAAAAGGUAUUAUAUAAGUUAAUUAAUANUNAAAAAAACUUUUUACUUAUAAUAAUAAAAUAAUUAAACUAAAAAACUAAUUAUUUUAAAAUAUAAAUUUAAGGUUAUUUAAAAGUAAUUUAACUUAAUAUUAUAAAUAUAUUAAAAUAUAAUCUAGUAUUAAAGUACCUAUAAUUAAU
Molecule: transfer RNA, 250 nt
Filed under: Metarhizium anisopliae
Lineage: Eukaryota; Fungi; Ascomycota; Sordariomycetes; Hypocreales; Clavicipitaceae
Description: tRNA-Leu
Source: RNAcentral